RNAcentral lists this unclassified non-coding RNA (189 nucleotides) under uncultured Russula. Its description in RNAcentral is "sequence contains ITS1". Lineage: Eukaryota; Fungi; Basidiomycota; Agaricomycetes; Russulales; Russulaceae. The record is from RNAcentral.
UCAUACCAUGGAGGCACUUGGGUUGUUGCUGACCUUUCCAAAAGGUUGUGCAUGCCCAAGCGCUUUCAAUCCAUUUCACCCUUUGUGCAUCACCACACAGGGUCUCUUCUGAGAGGCUCGCAUUUUUCAUACAAACAUGUUUAUAGUCAGUUUAGAAUGUCACUUAUUUGCAAUCACACACAAUCAAUA